AUGAAUAUUUUUGGGCAAUUUGAACGAAACAAGGAGGUAAAUGCUUUGCUCUGAUAACGGAAUUGUAGUAUUGUCGGUUAGGUGCUAUCAUUUACCACAAGGUGAGACUAACCUCAAUGAGAACCGCAGGCAAGCGCGCCAUUGCGGCGCAAAGGCGUCAUGCAUAUUAAUCUCUCCUGCUGCUUGAAAAUACAAAGGUAUGGUUGUAUUUCUUGGCCCAUUUAGAUAGGGACGACAGUAAAAGAUGGGCCGAUUGAGUGUUAUCAUUUUGUCGAUAGUGCUGGGGGUCUGUUUUUGGAUUUUUUUCUAAAGAAAUAUAACUUGAUAGUACAGACUGAUAGAGAGGGAGGGGGAAGGCAAAACAGUUUAAGAGAUAAAAAGGUAAAUUUUGAUAACGCUUGGAACAACAUGUAUAUAAGGCAGCUACUCGCUCGAUAUAUUUACAUUUUAACAAACAUUUUGUCGAAAGCACAGUCUAUCAGCUUAAUGUUUUAGCAGUGAGGGAUUAUGGGGGAAUACACAUGCGUACAUUGCGAGGAUUUUCAUGAGCAAAGACUUGGCUGCGGAGGCUUCGACGUUUGUGCUGUUCGACGGUUCAGUUGAAGACAGACAGAAACUUACAUUGUUCAAAUAAAUCUGUCUCGCUAAUGUCACGCACGAGACUGUGAUGUUAGCGUUUUAAACAGCCUUA
Molecule: long non-coding RNA, 691 nt
Organism: Nematostella vectensis (starlet sea anemone)
Lineage: Eukaryota; Metazoa; Cnidaria; Anthozoa; Actiniaria; Edwardsiidae
Exons: 2
Source: RefSeq, a predicted model, not a curated record